AGAAUUUAAUUCUUCCUUUAAUAUAAAUAAGGCAGCAUGAAACACUGAGAGCCCUGCUGCUUUCUGCUUCAGAAGCAGCUUUGGUACAAAAAAGAUCCCCCCACCCCUGUCCCGCUAAGUUGUUAUCUCUGCAUAAACAAGGGGCCAGAAGGUAGUUUUUCAGUGAACUUUCCCCUGGAAGCCAAGGGGAAGCCGAGGGAGGUUCAGGUUCGGUCUUAGCUUCUGGAGGCUGGUUCCUGGCUGGGGGUCUCCUCUAAGCACAACGAGAUAAGGAUGAAAGGGGAAAGGCAAGGCACGGGCAAUAAUAAAUACGGAAAUUCCCCCUGAUUCUGGAAACACAUCACAACUGAAUGGGGGUGUGGGCUGCUGUUGAGGGCCAUGUGAGCUUAAUCCUUCCUGGCAGCACCGGGCCACUGUGGUGCUGGGGACACACAGACCCAAGUCUGCACAGUCUGGCUGCAGCUCACGCGGAAUGGUUCCUACAGGCUUCAGCACCCCAUCACAGCCGAGCCUCCUGCUGCCAGUAAACCCUGUCAGGCAAACCGUCCAUCUUCCGGAACCCUGGGGCCAGGUGAGAGCACCCUUAGGGAAGGGACAGGAUCCUCACGGAGAGCCUGACACCCCUGUGGAACUGGGUAUGCUGUCUGGCAGGCAUGGCCAGCUUGAACCCCAGAGCAGAUCCCAAGUGCUGGUUCAGGCGUUCUUGGCUUGCUGCAAGGGUAAUGAGGCAGUGUCAUGAGAGAAAGUCCCAAAGGGCCAGUGAAGCCACAGGUGGGGUUGGAGUGGCUUCCCAAGCCCCCUACACAGGCCCGGAGAUAGGCUCGCUCCCACUGCUGGCUCUGGUGCCUGCUCAGUGACCAGGUAACCUCUGUGGGGCUCAGGGGCUGGGUUGGCAGCGCUGUCCUUGCACGUUCCCAGGCAGCCAAGUAUCUCUGGGUCUUGGUCAUCUGUGUGGCUGCCAAGGCUCAUCCAGAAAGGGGGGUUCUUGUGCGGUGGGAGCGCCCCACUGGAACAAACAGGUCUUGGGGCCCAGAGAUGGAGCUGGGUAUCCUCUUGCCUCCAGGCGUGCUCAGCUCUAGGACUGGGAUCUUGCUGAGGAAAACUCAGGUCUAUGGUAUCCCUCAUUUCUCAGCUCUGCUGUUUUCUCUGAACUGGGCAUCAGAGGCAGAGCCCAGCACCCCUGGGCACAAGGUUCCACCCUUUGCCCCAGUCACCCUGUGUCUCUUGCAGCUUCCAUCUUCAGUAUCUGCCCUCCCCCACCACACAGAUGAUCAGAGACCAGCUGUUGGAGCUUGUCCCUAGCAUGGUAUGUGGCACCAAUGCCACUCAGGGCACAGCACCCUGGGGGAAGGGGUGGGGAGAAGGGGGCGCACCUUAAGCGAGACACGUAGCUAAAAAAGCGGCCGAUCGAAACUUCUCUCUGCCACCAAGUACCCACUUCUGUGCAACAAAGACAUCGGCCCUUCUGGGCCUUGGACUUCUCCUAUGUCUUUUCUCCAAAUAGUUUAAAAAAUGGCAGCCACAGGUGGGCCCCUCCUGUGCAGGCUGGAGAUGGAAGGUUGCAAACUCCCAAGACUGUCCCAUCCUGUCAGGGUGCAGGGUCUCAACACGGGUCCCCAUCAGCACUCCUGUAGACCCUCUGUUGAUAUUCAAGUAAAUGUAAAAGUCACACCCAAGGCGAUGUUUGUGCUGUCUUUACCUCAGUGACCAGAGAGUAUCCUGUUGUCACCUUGGCCAUAUGGGGUGAUCCAAAAGUAAGCUGCAAAGGAUCAACCAGACGCAGACAAUAGCCUCAUCGGUAGGCCCCGGUGGCACGAGGGCAAACCAGCUCCCGGCUCGGGGUUCCGUUUCCUCCGUGCCGCGGGGCCUGGCUUCCUUGGCGGGCUGGGCCAUGGCGCCCGGCAGGGCCCGCCUUCGUCCUGGGCCAGGGCCUGCAGAUGCCCCCGGAGGUGUGGACGCGUGGGUGCCCCGCGCCCUGGCCCUCUGGGUGCUGGACGCUCUACAAGGCCGCAGCUUUGUGGGGCAGGCCGGGGUCUGAGGGGACGUGCAGGGAAUACUCGCUGAUGAGCACCGGCGCGUUCUUCAGCAUCUCGUAGAAGGCGUCCACCGUCUUGCGGUAGAGACUUCGCUGCAGGACGAAGGGCCUGAAGAGGUUGAGAGGCUCGGCCCGGCGAACGGCCUCCGGGAGCCCCAUGCCGUCGGGCACCUCGCGGUUGCCGAUGAAGAAGUGAUGGAGCUUCUUCUCCAGCAGGCUCUUCUCCAGGAAGCGGAGCAGCUCCCGCAGGCGAGCGUCCAGCUGCCCGGCCCUCCAGUCGGCCGGCCGGCGGCGGAGCAGGAGGUGCAGCAGGGCCGUCUUCAGGUGGUAGUUGCCGAGCCCGCUGCGGCCGGUCAGGCGGCUCUGCUUGGAGAGCAGGAAGGAGGCGAUCUGCAGGCAGCUGAGGUGGCAGGCGCCCUCCGGCAGGGCCUUCGAGGUCACCCUGAGGAAGUGCCGCUCGUACACAGCGAAGGACAGGAGCCAGUCGCUGCUGGACGCCGGGGCCUCCCCCGAGGGCUCCCUGGGAAGGUGGGAGACAAAGUACAGGUCCGAGUCGUCACACUGGAUCACCGGAAUCAGGUGGAAGGGCAUAAACUUCCCCGAGCGGAACUUGAUCUUGAGGGAGCCGGGCCGGUCCAGCUGACCGAAGGCCAGGUCGAACUCGUACUUGUGGGCGAUGCGGUGCCAGGCCCGGGUCAGGGCCAUCUGGAACCACUUCAUGACCCGCGCGGUGUCCAGGUACGGGGAGUCUCCGGCGCACAGCAGGCUCUCCAGCUCGCCGCCGGGCCGCGCCACGCUGCUCCUGCCGUGGAGGAGACACAGCAUGUCGUCCCCGAGCGUGGUCUUGCCGCAGACGCAGCCCAGCGCACCCUCAUCGGCCCUGACCACCCUGAUCUGGCCGUAGCCCUGGCGGCCCAAGGGCACCGAGCGGCGGGAGCAGCAGAGCUCCGGGCGGAAGUGGUAGGGCUCGGGGGGCACGAAGGGCACAAAGAGCUCGCACAGCAGCGGCCUGUCCACCUGCCAGUUCUCGUACAUGCUGUCCACGCCGAUGAAGUCCUCCAGCUCCAUGUCCGUGUCCCGGUUGCAGAGGCUCCUCAGGGCUUCCAGCAAGUCAUCCACGAAGCCUUCCACGAACUCCCGGGUGCGGGCCGCGUCGGCCGUGGCGCCCCGGAUGCAAUGCUCAUAAAAGUGGUGGAGGGUGGCCUUGUUGGGCAGGGUGAGGCCCCGGAGCGGGGCGCCGUCCAGGCCGGGCAGCUCGUCCUCGUCCCCGCCCAGGCACUCCGGGGAAGGCCCGUCCUGGUGGUCCUGCCGCCACACCUCGAUCACCAGGAAGAGGAUCAUGCAGAGGGUGCUCCACAGGUCCCAGGCUGUGCGAUUCUCAUUCUGCUGCUGCCCUUCCUCUGCCACGUGCUCCAGGGCCUCCUUCUCAGCUGCCAGCCGGGCCACCUCCUCCUCCAGGCGGAGCUGCUCCAGCUGCAGCUUCUCCUGGUGCGCCUGCAUCUUGCGGAUGAUCUCCUCCUCGUUCUCGGGCACUGUGGCAUUCUCCCGGGGGAACAGCAGUGGGUGGUUGAUGAUGGCUGUCACCACCACCAGACACACCCGGAAGAGCCCCAGAGCCAUGGCUGGAACUUUCCUGCCACACAGAGAGACAGAUCAGUGGUCACACCGAGCUUCCCUCCGUGCCACUUCCUCCCCGGACCGUCACACCAAGCUCUGUCCCACUGCGUCGGUGACUGUCUUGUAGGUCUUCUCCCGCUCAGCCUGCAGUCCUACCUCCUCCCCCACUGCUGUGUCUCAGUGCAGCCUUGGAAGAGGGAACUACAAAGUCACACACCAGGAAUCCCGGCUGAGCAACCCAUGGAAGCUGUCCUGUUUCUGGAAGCACAACCCACUUUGGCCAGGAGCCAACCCUUUUCAGUGGUCCCCGUCCAUGAUCGGGUGGGGAUAACUCCAACUCCAGCUACAGGGGUGAACAUAUAACCCAGGCCCAAACUAUUCCACACCCCUGUCUCCACAGUGUGGAUUCAUAGAGGAGCAUAGGACCUCACUCCGGCCAAUGUGAGAGACACAGAGAGAUAGGAUGUGCUGGGGCCGAUGGGGAGAAAGACGGCCCUGGGGCCUAGGUUUGCCAGGGAGCAGGAUCUUCGCUGCCCAUGGCUCUCCAGCUCCCGCAAAGGGGGGUCUGCUUGAGAGGGAUGCCAACGUAGAUACACGCAGACUCCUUGGAUACAGCUAUGCCUGAAGCUGUUGCCUCUGGACUCAUAAAGUCAUGUAAGUCCAUAGUUGCUUUGCUUUAAGUCAGUUUGAGCUGUUUUCCUAUCACUUCAACCCACCUCCCCCCGGUUAAUGCCGUGUAGCGAAUGUGACUUUGCUCGAGGCAAUAAAACCUAGUGGUUAAGAAUAAGAAGGCUGAGUUCCAAGGCCAGCUCUGUCACUGAUUAGCUGUGUGCCCUUGGACAUGUUAACACACCUCUCUGAGACCCAUUUUCCUUAAUGGACAGGAGGAAAGCUAUAUGUAGUAACCACAGGGCGCAGUAUUGAGGGAUGUGGUGACCCAUGCAAACUGUGUACACAGCACCGUGGAUGGUGCACAGCAUACAUUUGUUGAAUGGCAAGUGUUUUUGAACCAGUUUUGGGUCCUUGUCUUCCCCCACUGCACACCUCUCCUUCUGAUCUGUAAGGCCUCAUCCAAAUUCAGACACUGACCUCCUCGACUUUUCCCAGGUCUCUCCCCAGGGCAAUCUUGGAUAUAACCAGAGUGACUGAGUCAUUGGAUUUCCUUUCCUCUCAUGAGUCGUCUAAACUUAAAUCUCACUUCUUAAAAUUGUGUCUCCACAUGCCAUUCCUCCAGGACAAAUGGAUUUUUAGAUCUCAAGCCACCCCUUAUAAUUCUGGGAGUUUUUUAGAUACGCUGAACCUGGGGCCCCAUCCUGGGUCUGUUGAACCGGAAUCUGCAUUUUAAUAUCAUCCCCAUUAAAGUUUGAGAGGCACAGUCUUAUGGGGUAAGCCUCACAUUAUACCCUCUCCUCUCCCAGAGGGGAACCUCCCAGAGGGGAACCUUGCCAAGUAAUAAUGAGCCUUUCCCAUGCUUUGCCCUGCCCCCUUUCUGCCUGGGACCUCCGCUAGGAGAGCAAAUGGCCAAAUGAGGUUGUUGUUGGACUACAAAAGACACAGAAGGUUCCCCUGGCCACCCCCCAGCCUCGUAUGCCAACACGCGCUUCUCCACAUUGCUUGAGCCCCAUUCCCUAACCUUGCAUUUACACCCUUCCAACCACUUGUGCUGGUUCUUACCCUAAUGGUGCCAAGAACAGGUGUGUGUCAUCAGGUGAAGACAGCUCUGCAGGUUCUAGCCAGCAGUGCCAGGAUGUACACGACUCGGGUUGCCACAGGUGGGUAAAGCCUGCUUCUCAGAUGUGAUUCUAUCCCACACAUAGCUGGACAACGAGCAGGAACCAAAAGCGGGAUCCAGUGGUAGCAGAAUUCAGCGUGCACACAUAUUCAGGCCCCAGAGGUGGACUUGGGGAGGAGAGGGAGGACAGGAGAAAGUGCAGGAAGUCAGAUCGGAAGGGGUGUGGGGUGAGGAAAAAGUCCAGGGGGAAGCUAGCCAGCUUUUCUUCCCUAAGACAAGGAGUGGCUUGCUGGAUAAUUGCAGAAACAGGUCAGCCCUGGUUUCCACACAAGAGAAACAUCAAUGGAAAGUUUUGCCAGGGUGGUCCAAGGCAAAGCCACGAGGCAGGCUUACGAACGUGGAUCAGGGUUUUAAGAUAAAGGUGUGCAGUGCUAAUAAGCACAGCACCAGGCAGCAGCCAGCUGGGAGAGAAUUUGGAGGUUUUGAGGCCCUUGAGGGUCCCUGUACUAUAGGCAGUCCCCUUUGGGCAUAGCAGACCCUGACAGGUCACAGUAAUAGUCCUGGGUGGCCCCUGACCCAGGAGGUUGGUCUCCACGCCAAUUCAGGGUAGGAUGCCAGCAACUGGGGAAUAGCGCCAUCGUCAAGCCUCCUCUUUCCC
Molecule: long non-coding RNA, 6042 nt
Filed under: Canis lupus familiaris (dog)
Lineage: Eukaryota; Metazoa; Chordata; Mammalia; Carnivora; Canidae
Description: lncRNA (ENSCAFG00000054601.1)
Source: RNAcentral